AAGGAGAAGGACAGGGAGAAAGCAUGAUAUGAGAUACUUUUGCUUUCAACCUUCAUGAUAUGAAAUACUUUUUCUUUUGAUGAGUUGUUUGUAGAGGUACCCAAAGGAAUAAGGAACACUGAGUGACUCGAGAGGCUUUGUUAGGAAGGCAUUCUUGGAGAUGAAGAAAGGUUAUGUAUGUCUGCCUUGCUAUGGAGGGUGAAGGUUGACAUUUAUAUGAAUUAAUAACCGGUACUAUUCUUUCACUCUUGUCGGCAACCGUUGGAUGAUUGAACAGUAAACUUCAUGUGUUUUCUACUUUACCAGAAAUCUUCGACAGAUUGCCCGUAAUUUUCGCAAGGCUGAGUGUGCAUGUGACAGGUGCUGACACAUCUGAAAAAGCAAGUGCCUCUUCAAUAUC
Molecule: long non-coding RNA, 400 nt
Filed under: Malus domestica (apple)
Lineage: Eukaryota; Viridiplantae; Streptophyta; Magnoliopsida; Rosales; Rosaceae
Description: long non-coding RNA (MDOM_LNC013161)
Source: RNAcentral